GGUAUGCUAACUAGGGUUGAGAUUUUGUUUAAAAAUAAUAAAAGUGAGAAGUAACAUUCCUUAGUCUAUUUAAUUUAAAAAAUAUUUUAUUUGAGUGGAUUAAUGCCAUGUUUUGUUAGUAAAAAAUACAAAUGGGUAUACUAAGAGAUUACUUUAAAGUGUAAAAAGUUUUAUUAAAAUACUGCUUUUGGAGGAAUUAUAAUUGUAUAAGUUUGGGUUUUUCCUAACUAGGUUCAAGAUUUUGUUUUAAAAAAUUUAUAAAGAAAAGGAGGCGUUAUGAGUGAAUUAAGGUU
Peromyscus maniculatus bairdii (prairie deer mouse) is the source of this 293-nucleotide non-coding RNA. The record is from RefSeq and is a predicted model, not a curated record. NCBI's taxonomy places the organism in Eukaryota, Metazoa, Chordata, Mammalia, Rodentia, Cricetidae.